GGCGCGCAUAAGUCUAUACAAUGAACUAUAGAGUGCUCAAGAACGUGGUACCCCGAACGAGCAUAAUAUAUGAUUUCGAUAUUUUUUGUUGAGUUUUUUUCUCAAGGUCUUGCUUACUUUAUUUCCUUCCACUCGUGAGCUCACUACGUGAUCAUAGUGAUCAAACGUAGUGUCCAGGCCUUGUUACAGGUGUUUAAAAUUAGAUCAAUUAGAUUGCAUAGUUCAUUGUAUAGACUUAUGCGCGCCUCGUACUUAGCGAGUGUUGCUGCUUUGUCGAAUGUCAAACAAAGACAUAAAAAUAUGAAAUCUAUUAUGCUCGUUAUUAAUUUAACUAGAGCACUUUUAGUGCAAUGAUCUAAUUGUUUACUUAAACACCUGUAACCUUAUUGUUGGUGGCAUAAUUACCCUUCGUUUCUACCUGUUGCACUAUGAAUUGCCUAGAGUAUAUAUAACUGGCAGACAACCCUGGUCAUACAAUGCUUCUCCUAGGUUUGAUAUAGUGUGCGAAGAUGGGAAGAAAUAGAAGAGGUCGUGGCCGUAGAGGAACACGACUAUGUAAUUUUAAUAUCAAUGAAUAAAAUUCUUUACGUUUACAGUGUGGUUUCCUUCCAUUUAAGUGUCCAUCCAGGGUCACAAGGCCUGGACACUACGUUUGAUCACUAUGAUCACGUAGUGAGCUCACGAGUGGAAGGAAAUAAAGUAAGCAAGACC
Paramuricea clavata is the source of this 711-nucleotide non-coding RNA. Lineage: Eukaryota; Metazoa; Cnidaria; Anthozoa; Malacalcyonacea; Plexauridae. The record is from the annotation of a GenBank genome assembly.